This is a long non-coding RNA of Gasterosteus aculeatus aculeatus (three-spined stickleback), 10178 nucleotides long. NCBI's taxonomy places the organism in Eukaryota, Metazoa, Chordata, Actinopteri, Perciformes, Gasterosteidae. The record is from Ensembl.
UUACACUUAUUGUAAAUAAUUGUUUACAACUAAUCUUGUAUUCAUACACGUAAACAGAAUCCCCAAACAUCUGCUACCGGAUGGAUCUGUUCAUCCAGCAGUUGUUCAGCACAAUAUUUGUGUAUUUAAUGAAAUCACUCCAUUUCAGUUCUUUAUUAUAUAUCAACACAGGUAAAAACACGUCCACUUUAAGUUGAUUUACCCUCCGACCAUCAAUUUACUGCUUAAUGACAUAUUCUCAUGCUCACAGUGUAGCUGUUAGCUCACCUAGCAUUGGGCAUUUAACCACUAGUUCAACCCUUUGUGCACAAAGAGAAGACGUGUAACUUUACAACUUUAGCUCUGGACACAGCCAGGCUAGCCGCUUCCACCUGGCUUUAUGCUAAGCUAAGGCUAAUCUCUAUUGUUCCUGGAUGUCCAAACAACAGACACAAUGUCCGUAGAAUUAUCUGUGGGACUGAAUUUGAUUGAAUAGAUCCCCGAUGUUUAGAUGUUUGGGUUUAAUACGGAUUGAGGGGAAACGUCCAGGAUCAGUUUACGUUUGACUGACUGAAAGAGGUUCUUUAGGAGAAAUGAUGAGCAAUACAUGUGAAAUAUACAAAUCUAUCCAUCUAUAUAUUAAUAUGUGUUCAGUCACUGUUCUUGGUGACUGAAUCUUCUGGGGGUUUCUUCAGAGGUCGCGAUGUCGUUUUAUUUCCCUCUUGACGUUUCUUCGGCCACAUCCAUCAGAUCAUCGAACAAAUCUGAAACAUAAACACGAAGAUGAUUAUCGGUGGAAUUAGUUUACACUUCGUCCACAUGUUUUUUUCCAUUGUUUCUUCUUCUUUAGUUAUAUCUAUUAGAAUAUAUACAGUAAUGAUGUAUUAUAAUAUAUAAUACAGAUAUAUGUUGUAUAUAAAGCCCUGUGAGGGACACUAGAGCAGCGGAGGGUUUUAUUGAGACGUCUCUUGAAGUCUUUUGAAAAUGGGUUUGACUUCAUGAAGUAGCUGUCACACGUAUGGACGUGUCCCAUCGUUUCUCUGAUUCGGCGGCUGAGAACAUCACGUACCUCCGUCAUUUAAUUGUACAGUUUGUGGAGUCAUUCCUCCGCCCAUGUUGUCUUCGUCGUGGCCUCCUGCAGACGUAGCUCCCUCACUGAAGAGACCAGAGAAACCAGAUUUACUCUCCUUCUUGUCCUCGCCGUCGUCUCUGUCAAAGAUCUUUGAGAAGAAGCCGUCCUUCUUGUUGUCUUUGUCCUUCUCGCUCUUCUUCUUCUUCUUCUUGUCGUUGUUGUCAUUGUCUCUAUUAAAGAUCUUUGAGAACAUCCCUCCUUCGUUUUUGUCCUUGUCCUUGUCCUCCUUGCCGAGAGCCUUCUUCACUGCAUCCUCUACCAUGUCUCCUGCAAGACAAAUGACACCACAGUCAGACCACAUGGAAACCAGGAGUUAGAUCCAUCCUUGGUGGAGCACCAGAGGGGUGGGGUUGACCUCAGAGGAUGAGACAACUUGAAGCUCCAAUUAGGUGAUUAAAGUCAAACGAGAUUGUUUCUUAUCGUUACUUUCUCUGACAGAUGGAUGAUCUACAACCUGCUCAAUGGUCUGUUUGACGCUACAUGGACCAUCACGUACUAGAUGUACUGAGUCAUUGUCUCAUGGACUUCUACAGGACCAGAUGAGUCGCCCCCUGGUGGUCACUACAGAGAAUGCACCUUUAACACUGACUUUAGGAAGUUGCUGUUCAGUCCAGAACGUAACGUCUUCAGAGCUGUGAUGUCAUUGAUGAGCAGCUUGUGUGACUGAAGGAACUCGCGCUCCAAACAGAAGCUUUUUGAAGCAGCUGUUUUAACCUCGACAUCCAGAGAGCCCCAAAGCAUUUAUCUCGUUUGCAUCAGCAGCAAACAAUCACACAAAGAAGCAACGUGUUGAUUUGAACCUGAUUUAUUCUCAUUAAACGAAUGAAAAUAGGGGUUCUCAUCAAACACUGUAAAUCAGUAACAUCACCUCCAUUUCUGAGGAGCUUCGGUUAUUGAUGAACUGUGUAACAAGACGAGUUUUCUUUGACGGGACGUCUGUCAUAAAAGGACAACAUCUUUGAGGUCUUCCACUAAAAGUCCCUCUCGUAAGACUCUGAUACUCUGCUGCAGAAAGCUGACAGCACGCCAUGCCAAUCACGCCAUGCAACACUUCUGACCCGCCUCCCCGGCUCUACUCACCCAUUUUUUCUGCAAUCCAUGAAGAGGCCAUCUCUGUCUCUCUGUCUCUGUCUGUCUCUCUGUGUGUCUCUCUGUCUCUGUCUGUCUCUCUGUCUCUCUGUCUCUGUCUGUCUCUCUGUCUCUGUCUGUCUCUCUGUGUGUCUCUCUGUCUCUGUCUGUCUCUCUGUCUCUCUGUCUCUCUGUCACUCUGUCUCUCUCUCUCUCUGUCUGUAACUCUGUGUCUCUCUGUCUGUCUCUGUCUCUGUCUGUCUCUCAGUGUCGUUCUGUCGUCCUCAUUGGGUCCAUUUGCAGGUGUGACUGAAGCUUUGUCUCUUUAGGCCGACGCCCUCUCUCCGGUGUCCCUCCUCUUCUCGUCGCCGCGGGUUACGGGUCGUCGGACGGGACCGACUGGUUCCUUCACCUGAAUGAAGCGUUCCGUGUCUUCAGGGGGAAUGAAGCCGCUGUGGAGAGAAACAAAGUACAUUUACACACUUUAGUAUUUCUGAGAGAAAUGUACUUUUCACGUCAUUGAUUCAUUAGCUCCUUUACAGAUUAAGUUUCUCUUUGAAUGUAAAGAACUAUUUGACUUUUGCUGAAGUAAAGUUUUGAGUGCCGGUAUUUUAGUGGUAAUUAGGAGUAUUUCUACCUGCAGUUGGUAGUACUUCAGAGUACAGCCGACUGUUUGUGUUUCAGGGAGACAACGAAAACACGAGUCAUCUGAGCUGGAAUGUAAGUACAUUUACUACUGCGAGUGUCUUUAUACUUUGUACUCCACUGUAUUUAUCCGUCAGAUACCUGAACCCUCCUUUACAAACAGAAAACAUGACACGAUUAGAACAACGUCACAACUAUUGGAAACAAUAAGUGACGCAGAAACUUACGCGCCCAUCUGUGAUCUACAUCAGACCCUUUAUUAAUCAUCCCCUGCUCCCAGAAUGCACCUGUAAAACACCUGUACCAAUCAGAGCAGGGCUUGGGUGCUGUGCUUAUAUUCCACACCUGAUCAAGUCUUAACCUGGAUGUAAAGUUUCAAGCUGGUGAAGGCAAUAUUAGCCAAUUAAUUUAUCUAUAUAUUCAUCAAAAAUACCAGAAUGCAUAAUCAAAGGCCUCCUUUUUAAACUGCCUGGAUGAAUCACCCAAUCGGAGCGAGCGAGCAGGCAGCCAAUCACAGCGAAGACGUUUGAGGAAAAAGGAGAAACGAAGAACUCAUCAGCCUAAAGUGAGCCAAUGCUUCAGAACUCAUACAUAUAUUUAUAUUAUGGGUAGAUGAAAUCAAGCGUUCUGAUUGGUUGAGAGUGAGUCAGAACUCAUCAGCAUCAGCAUCAGCUAAGCACCCUGACCACAGGUCACGUGGAGGGAGGACCAAACGAGGAACAUCAGGCGGCCCGAUGGAGAAGUCGAGCCUGUGGAAAGAGCCCAAGUAGCAGAGCAGGGUUCCCGUUCCAUGAACCACGCCGGACUGGCAAAGUUCCCGGGGAGAAACAUUGGCCAGAUCCGGUACAUAAUCCGGGGAAGCCUGCAGGAGACUCGUCUGUCUCUGGGCGGAGGAGCCGGCCUGCAGCCCAUGUCCUAAAUAUGGCCUCCUGGUCGUAGAUGAUAGCGACUAAAUUGCAGCCGAUGUCCAACCGCACUUUGGACGGCGAGGGAAGGAGGGGAACCGCCAGCUAACCACGUGGUGGUGUGAUCAACAGAGGUGUGCUAGCAUGGCAUUCAACGCGGAGACAACUAAUCAUGAAGAUUCAGGACCAGCCCUGGACCAACAGGUCCAGUCGCCGUGGCUCCAUGUAUUCACCUGCAGUUUACCUGGACCCAAAGAACCAAUGACCUUUGGUCUUGGCCUCAGUAAUCUUUACGCGCUUUAGUCAGCAAGUCCUUAAUUAAUUAAACCGUCUGUCUCUGUCGCAGGUCCAGAACGGAGCCAACGGGCGUCAUUAUCUCGACACAAUGUGACAUGCUGUGUCCUCUACGCUGAUCCCUGCGAUGUGAAGCAACGUGAGUGGACAUGAAUAUGAAAGCUCCCUUCAAAGCCACUGGGCGCCAAAUCUAAAGGACAGGAUUAAUAUCCUGGCUGGUGAAGACACUUCCAACACCGAGGCACCGGUAAACACAGUCAUUUUUGUUAUUUUAAUGGAAACUUUUAUAAAACGAGCAAUGUGAAUGAAUGAGAGGUCGAUCAAGGAGACCUGGGACGUUUUCCGACGACGGACAAAUCAACGUCCAUCUGAUCAUCAACAAACGUUUAGUUUUAGGCAACAAUGCUGUUUGUCUGUUGCAUCGGAACUAUCGUCUAUUCUUGUUCACUAUUGACUAUUUUCUUCAGGCUUCUGAAAAGCGAUACACAACAUUUGGUGGAUACAACUGUUUUCUGCUAUUUCUCUACUAUUUGUAAUGUCUCUGUUUCCUUCUUCCGCUCUGUUUCCUGACGGUUUAAUAGGAUCCGUGACCCACAGGGCCGCUCGUCUCCGGGUGACUGAGAUCUCUUCAUUUCACGCAGCGACACACCAGUAAAGUUCAGGUCAACGUUGGUAAAACACAGUAAAGAAAACACAAACGUCUCCGUCGGCUCUGCAGCUCGUACAAAACAUGUAGUCCAAAAGUUUUAUUGUGCUUUAAAUGUUCAAAUCAUUGGUAAAUAUGUAGAGUGAUUCUCGACGGUCUGCAGCUGGUCCGGGUCUCUACUUAAAGAAGCCGCCGAGGGCCCCCAUCACUGCGUUGGCCCCUGAGGAACAAAGCCAAUGUUAAGAAAAGUUAAGACUGAAGCCUGGAAACAUCUACGAUGUGAUGAUGACGAUGAACCAACAAAAAUAUGAAUAUAUACAUAUGCAGAUAUAGAAAUGUGUAUUUAAUUAUAUAAACGUAUAAACAUCAUUAAAUAAAUGUACCAGUCAAAAGUUUGGACACUUGAAUUGAAUGAGAAAUUGUGUCAUAUAUACAUGUACAUUACAUAAAUACUCACUAUGUCGUUCAUCUUUUAAUAGUUUAUUAUUUCAGGGGGAAAAUACACAUAAUUAUGUCCAGAUAAGUAGGACGUGAUGUUUCGGUGCCUCAUCCCGGAUCGCUCUGGAGGACUCACCUCCCCCCUUGCUCUUGUCUUCCUUCCCCUUGCUCUUGUCUUCCUUCUUAUUGCCCCCGCUGACCAUCGAGAGGGCGUCAUCGAGGCCAAAGCCGUCUCCGCCUCCGCCGCCUCCGCCUCCGCCGCCGCCGCCUCCGACCAACGACAUCACCUGGUCCACCGGUCCUUUCUUCUCCUCCUCCUGCCCUUCCUUCUUACCCAUGACUUUGCUCAUGGUGUCCUCCACAAGCUCCUCUGAGGACACAAGAAGCGGUUCAGUUCUCCUGUAGAUACACGAUGUCUGCAGGUUUGGUUUCACCGCCUGAAGCCGAUGGGUGCGGAUCACCAAAUAUUUGAGGGUGAUUAAAGCAGUAAUUCAGCCUCCUGAGUCGGCUGACAUCACACAAAGUGACUAGCAGGACACAAGGGAACUUCUUCCACCACGUCAAACCUCACGCAGCCAAACACAGACACUGGAAUCAUCAUUCUAAUUAUUAUAAUCCAUCCAUAUAUCUAUCGAUCCAUCUAUUGAUCCAUAUAUCUAUCGAUCCAUCUAUCGAUCCAUCUAUCGAUCCAUCUAUCGAUCCAUAUAUCUAUCGAUCCAUCCAUCCAUCUAUCGGAACGUAUAAUUGCUCCUCAUAAUAAUCCAAGUAUUCUGUACAUUGGGUUUUAGCUCCUCUUCCCGUGAAACAUUCAGCCUGAAUAUUUAUUCAUUUAUUCUAAAUAUGUAAUAUAUAAAUAUGUCUAAAUAUUACGGCGUCUUUGGGGAAUUCAGAUGUAAAAACAAAUAAUGAGGAAGCGAGACACUCACCCACUUUCUGACCGGCCAUCUUGGAGAUCAUUCUGUCCAUGGCUGCUGCUGAUAGUCACUGCUGCCUCCACUGUGUGUUUACUGUAUAUAAGCAUGGAGGUGGGCGGGGCUGAAGGCAUUGGGCGGGGCUUCUGGAGGCCGGCUUACCUGCGGGUAGCCCCGCCCUCUGUGGACUCGCCCUGUUGAAGAAUCAGGUGUGAAUGCAGGGUGGACAGGUCUCACGGGUCGGAGAGGAUUUAUACCUUUACGUGCGUGUGCGUGUGUGUGUGCGCGUGUGCGUGUGUGCGUGUGUGCGUGUGUGUGUGUGUGUGUUACCUCCCUAAAGAAGAAUUUAAAGGUGUGUGUUACCUCACCUGUAUUCAUGUUCACAUAAAGACGGUGAGACACAGAGUGAGAUCCAACCUGUCUUCACCUCGUACUAAAUGUCUCCUCUUCAUCGUUCCGAACACGUUGAUCAUUGAGUCUCUGAUGGACGUGAGACCUUCACGGGCCGCCGGCUCUCCUUCAGCGAGACACGGGCUCGUCGCAGGAGAAAACCCGCUGUGAGGAGGCGUGUCUGAAAGAGUGACAUCACACUCAAGCGUGAAUCCAGAUGUACUACAGAAAGUACCUGUUGGCUAAUAUAUAAAAUAUACUUGUAUAUUAUAUAUAGUACAAAAACAUAUAUGCAAAUACAAAUAUAAUCGGUUUUAUUCUGUGGUUUUCUCUAUUCAUAUACUGUAUACAUAUAUGUAUAUAUAUAUAUGUGAUAUAUACGAUAUGUGCUAUAUUCAUAUAUACAUAUAUGUAUAUAUAUAUGUGAUAUAUACGAUAUGUGAUAUAUACAUGUAUACAUAUAUGUGUAUAUCACUAUGAAUUUGCAUAAUCCCGAGGAGAUGAUCUGGAUUCUGUGCGUCUUCUGUCUCCACAAACAUGCUGUGGACUGAGGACAUAAACCGCGGUGGCCAUUUUGAAAACAGUUUAAUCUCGUGUCAGUUUUUGUCAUCAUUAUUUGAUUCAAUUCAUUUUAUUUUUUAUAGCACUAAAUGCCUCAGUCCAGAAACUGGCACCUCGGACAGGAAAAACUCCCCAAACAAAGACACAGCAUUGGAUGGGGAGACAGAGGACGAUCGUCCCCGUGACGGACACGCCGUGACGGACACGCCGUGACGGACACGCUGUGAUGGACGUGCAGAGUGAACAACGUGAACAAUACGCUCAAUUCACCCGACACAGAUGAUUCGGGUCGUCGUGGCACAGGAGGAGAGAGGGAGCGCAGGGAAGCACAGGGUUGUGGGUUUGUGUCCCUGAGCAAGGCACCCAACCCCUAACUGCUCCCCGGGCGAAACUGUAAGAGCCACAGGUUAAUAAUGCAACGCAAGUCGCUUUGGAUAAAAGCGUCGGCUAAAGGACCUGUGAUGUGAUUCAAAUACACAAAUGAUCUCAUCAUGCGCGUUCAUCAUCGUCUCCUGCUCGUCUUCUUUAGAGUUUAUUUGUGCUGUUAAAAAAUCCUGGAUUUGACCGUCUUCUGACAUAAGACACGUACGCGCGAUUAUCGAGACAUCUGGUUCAAAUUAAGCAGACGGUUUGAGCUCCGAUCAGCCGCUGAGCAACCGAGAUGCUGCAUUAUGGGACAUUUAAUCGACUUAUAUUUAGCACGAGGAAUGGGGCCCAGGUGAGUGACAGCACAGGUGUGUUGUGUGUUUGAUAGGCCACGCCCCCCGAGGGCGGGUCCGUGUCCGAGCUCACGUGACGCUUGCAAACAAACUCGUUGGACUGAGAUAAUAAACAUUGUAUCCUUCAAAAGAGAUUCGUGUGGACGUGACUCAGAGGAACCUCCCUUCAGCCCAACGUGAGUCAUGACAACAACAACAACAAUGGUCCAAAACAGGUUGGUUUCCUCUUCUCAGAACCAAUCACACGCUCACACGUCAGACAGACACGCAGGGCGCCGGAGGAGACGUCACGUGAUCUCAUCGGUAUGUGCUGCGUGUAUAUUUAUAUGUGCUCAGUAAAAGAUCCUUCUUACUAAAGACAAAGUAUAGCAGCAACAUGUGGAAAAGGUCAUGAUGUCCUUAUUAUAAUAUUAUAAUAUUAUCAAUACACUACAAUUAAGGUAAAUGUAAUUAAUAUGAUGCUCUGAUGUACUAUAAUGCAGCACACAUGUACACAAUGAAAAAUAUUUUCACUUUUCUUACAAGGCAAGAAAUCAAUUGAUCAUUGGACCAAAAUGUAUCUUCAGAUUAAUUCAUCAUUGUAUAUAUAUAUAUAUAUAUAUAUAUAUAUAUAUAUAUAUAUAUAUAUAUAUAUAUAUUAUCAAAGCAUCCAGCUACAAUACUGCUUUUACAUUGAGUCAUAAUUACACUACUUGUCAUUUAGCUUUAGCAUCUUUAUCCAAAGUGACUUCCAAUGAUACAUCACAUUACAUUACAGGUCAUUUAGCAGACGCGUUUAUCCAAAGCACAUAUAUAAUAUAUAUCUAAUAUAAUAUAUAACCCUGCUAAGCCCACACAGUGGGAGCAGUGUGCUGGUUGGGGUUGGUUGUCUUGCUCAAGGACACCGCCACAUGGAACUGCAGGGUUCAAACCGCCAACCCUGCGGUUGCCGGCGCACCUUCUCUACUACACGUGCCACCAUCGCCCAUCUAGUGGUACAUAUUAGUAGUAGUACUAGUAGUACUAGCAGCACAUCGGCACAGGAAAACUCCCCAAACAAUGAGAACCUUCCAAGAGGGAAACAAGGAAGAAACCUCAGUGAGGACGUCAGAGGACGAUCCGUCUCCUGAUGGACUACAGUGAUGUCAUGUGGACAGAAUGAACUAUAUAUUAUUUGUAGUAUGGUAGUAGUAGUAGUAUAUAUUAGUAGUAGCACAUAUCAUGAUUUAGUUCAGUGCUCCACCUGCUGGAGGAGGUUCAUCUAUACAGUGCAUCCAGGAAGUCAUCACAGCGCUCCACCACAUUGUUAUGUUACAGCCUUAUUCCAAAAUGGAUUAAAUUCAUUAUGUUCCUCAUCAUUCUACACACAACAACCCAUAAUGACAAAGUGAAAACUGUUUUUUGCAAAUUUUUGCAAAUCUGUUAAAAAUAAAGAAGGAAAACAUAACAUGUACAUAAGUAUUCACAGCCUUUGCCGUGACUCAGCAUGUAGCUCAGGUGCCUCCUGUUUCCACUGAUCAUCCUUCAGAUGUUUCCACAACUUGAUUGGAGUCCACCUGUGCUAAAUUCAGUUGAUUUCAGUAAGGUAUCACAGCUGACAGUGCAUAUCAGAGCAUAAACCAAGCCAUGAAGACCAAGGAAUUAUCUGUAGACCUCAGAGACAGAACUGUAUCGAGGCUCAGAUCUGGCGACGGGUACAGAAAGAUUUCUGCAGCAUUGAAAGUCCCAAUGAGCACAGUGGCCUCCAUCAUCCAGAAAUGGAAGAAGUUUGGAACCACCAGGACUCUUGCUAGAGUCGGCCGCCCAGCCAGACUGAGCGAUCGGGGGAGAAGGGCCUUAGUCAGGGAGGUGACCAGGAACCCGAUGGUCACUCUGACAGAUCUCCAGUUCUAUGAAGAGAGGAGAACCUUCCAGAAGGACAACCAUCUCUGCAGCACUCCACACAUCAGGCCUGUUUGGUAGAGAGGCCAGACGGAAGCCACUGCUCAGUAAGAAGCACAUGACAGCCCGCCUGAAGGACUCAGACCAUGAGAAACAAGUCUCUGGUCUGAUGAAACAAAGAUUGAACUCUUUGGCCUGAAUGCCAAGCGUCAUGUCUGGAGGAAACUAGGCGCUGCUCAUCAUCUCGCCAAUACCAUCCCUACAGUGAAGCAUGGUGGUGGCAGCAUCAUGUGGGGAUGUUUUUCAGCGGGAGGAACUGGGAGACUCGUCAGGAUGGAGGGAAAGAUGAAUGCAGCAAUGUAGAGCGACAUCCUGUAACACAGCAGACUGGGGCAUUAACACAUCCUGGAUGAAAACAUGCUCCAAAGCGCUCUGGACCUCAGACUGGGGCGACGGUUCAUCUUCCAACAGGACAACGACCCGAAGCACGCAGCCCAGAUAACAAAGGAGUGACUUCGGCACAACUCUGCGAAUGUCCUUGAGUGGCCCAGCCAGAGCCCUGACCUGAACCCCAUUGAACAUCUCUGGAGAGAUCUGAAAAUGGCUGCACCGACGCUCCCCAUCCAACCU